RNAcentral lists this ribosomal RNA (635 nucleotides) under Escherichia coli. RNAcentral's name for it is "partial 23S ribosomal RNA". It matches the Rfam family "Bacterial large subunit ribosomal RNA", at positions 604 to 1239 of the family's 2925-position model. The record is from RNAcentral. Lineage: Bacteria; Pseudomonadati; Pseudomonadota; Gammaproteobacteria; Enterobacterales; Enterobacteriaceae. RNAcentral also lists the same sequence under 1 other name.
CCUUUUGUAUAAUGGGUCAGCGACUUAUAUUCUGUAGCAAGGUUAACCGAAUAGGGGAGCCGAAGGGAAACCGAGUCUUAACUGGGCGUUAAGUUGCAGGGUAUAGACCCGAAACCCGGUGAUCUAGCCAUGGGCAGGUUGAAGGUUGGGUAACACUAACUGGAGGACCGAACCGACUAAUGUUGAAAAAUUAGCGGAUGACUUGUGGCUGGGGGUGAAAGGCCAAUCAAACCGGGAGAUAGCUGGUUCUCCCCGAAAGCUAUUUAGGUAGCGCCUCGUGAAUUCAUCUCCGGGGGUAGAGCACUGUUUCGGCAAGGGGGUCAUCCCGACUUACCAACCCGAUGCAAACUGCGAAUACCGGAGAAUGUUAUCACGGGAGACACACGGCGGGUGCUAACGUCCGUCGUGAAGAGGGAAACAACCCAGACCGCCAGCUAAGGUCCCAAAGUCAUGGUUAAGUGGGAAACGAUGUGGGAAGGCCCAGACAGCCAGGAUGUUGGCUUAGAAGCAGCCAUCAUUUAAAGAAAGCGUAAUAGCUCACUGGUCGAGUCGGCCUGCGCGGAAGAUGUAACGGGGCUAAACCAUGCACCGAAGCUGCGGCAGCGACGCUUAUGCGUUGUUGGGUAGGGGAGCGU